This 143-nucleotide ribosomal RNA is filed under the name Senecio dunedinensis. Its description in RNAcentral is "5.8S ribosomal RNA". It matches the Rfam family "5.8S ribosomal RNA", at positions 1 to 134 of the family's 154-position model. Rfam says of the family: 5.8S ribosomal RNA (5.8S rRNA) is a component of the large subunit of the eukaryotic ribosome. It is transcribed by RNA polymerase I as part of the 45S precursor that also contains 18S and 28S rRNA. The record is from RNAcentral. Lineage: Eukaryota; Viridiplantae; Streptophyta; Magnoliopsida; Asterales; Asteraceae.
CAUAAACGACUCUCGGCAACGGAUAUCUCGGCUCACGCAUCGAUGAAGAACGUAGCAAAAUGCGAUACUUGGUGUGAAUUGCAGAAUCCCGUGAACCAUCGAGUUUUUGAACGCAAGUUGCGCCCGAAGCCUUUUGGCUGAGG